RNAcentral lists this ribosomal RNA (467 nucleotides) under uncultured bacterium. RNAcentral describes it as "bacterial SSU rRNA". It matches the Rfam family "Bacterial small subunit ribosomal RNA", at positions 29 to 506 of the family's 1533-position model. The record is from RNAcentral.
AUGAACGCUGGCGGCGUGCUUAACACAUGCAAGUCGAACGAUGAAGACCGUGCUUGCACGGUUGGAUUAGUGGCGAACGGGUGAGUAUCACGUGAGUAACCUUCCCUUGACUCUGGGAUAAGCCCGGGAAACUGGGUCUAAUACCGGAUACGACCAGUCCUCGCAUGGGGUGCUGGUGGAAAGAUUUAUCGGUCUUGGAUGGACUCGCGGCCUAUCAGCUUGUUGGUGAGGUAAUGGCUCACCAAGGCGAUGACGGGUAGCCGGCCUGAGAGGGUGACCGGCCACACUGGGACUGAGACACGGCCCAGACUCCUACGGGAGGCAGCAGUGGGGAAUAUUGCACAAUGGGCGAAAGCCUGAUGCAGCGACGCCGCGUGCGGGAUGACGGCCUUCGGGUUGUAAACCGCUUUCAGCAGGGAAGAAGCGAAAGUGACGGUACCUGCAGAAGAAGCGCCGGCUAACUACGU